Long non-coding RNA from Perca flavescens (yellow perch), 827 nucleotides. RefSeq lists it as uncharacterized. The transcript has 4 exons. Lineage: Eukaryota; Metazoa; Chordata; Actinopteri; Perciformes; Percidae. The record is from RefSeq and is a predicted model, not a curated record.
ACUGGGACAGAGAAGCCGAGUGGACUGGUUAUACUGGGACAGAGAGGCCGAGUGGACUGGUUAUAUUAGCCUGAGCACGGUGAACCUGGAGCAGGUCAACGAAAAUCCCGUUCGGACUGAUGACUUUGAAGUGGGUGAGGCGGCGGGCGUCGUCCCGUUCACACAUCUCCACCGGCUGGUAUUCGGCCUCGUGGGACGUGCUGAUGAACCAGCCUUUGCACCGGACGGACUCGAACGUGGUCAGAGACCUGCCCGUGGUCUUCUGGUAGAAGAGGAACCGGUCCAUGUCUCCGUCGGCGCUGAUCUUCUUUAAAUCCUCCUUGCUGCGUUCCUGCCGGACAGACGAAGAGAAAAUGUGUCUCAUUCGUUCUCUAAGGCAGGACAUGUGCAGCGUGUUGGUGAUGGACAGGAGGACGGCCCCGACUUCAUCAGCCGAGACGUCGGGAGUGAUAGUCACGGCCUGCAGCUUUAACCCCCCUGACGCCUGGACGAUGUAUUUCUGUGAAUGGUCACACAGUGUGUGAAGAGGACCGCUGUUGAGGCGCUGGAAUAUUCUCUUCACGCCUGUGGACGAAGCCUCGGUCGCCGUGACGAUUGUUACUGUGGAGAGAUGGAGGCAGAUGUUAGAGGAGGAAUCAGGAUGUCUCAUCCCGGGCUGCUCGCUUUCAACGUAAUCUCUCAUUCUGCAUUUCUUUCAUUGUUCUUUCUGAAAAAAAUGUAGCGUGUUCCUGGAGUUUACUUUCCAUAUUCUCAGUACAAAUUGAAAUUGAAACCUUUUUGUGAUUUGUGAGCAUCGUAGACAUCUAUAAUCAAUAACCUACAUCUGG